RNAcentral lists this ribosomal RNA (221 nucleotides) under uncultured Synergistaceae bacterium. RNAcentral's name for it is "partial 16S ribosomal RNA". It matches the Rfam family "Bacterial small subunit ribosomal RNA", at positions 1164 to 1382 of the family's 1533-position model. The record is from RNAcentral. Lineage: Bacteria; Thermotogati; Synergistota; Synergistia; Synergistales; Synergistaceae.
UGGAGGAAGGUGGGGAUGACGUCAAGUCAUCAUGGCCCUUAUGUCCAGGGCGACACACGUGCUACAAUGGCCGGCACAACGGGAAGCGAGUUCGCGAGGACGAGCGGAUCCCUCAAAGCCGGUCGCAGUUCGGAUUGAAGUCUGCAACUCGACUUCAUGAAGCUGGAAUCGCUAGUAAUCGUGGAUCAGCCAAGCCGCGGUGAAUAACGUUACCGGGCCUU